RNAcentral lists this ribosomal RNA (878 nucleotides) under uncultured bacterium. RNAcentral describes it as "bacterial SSU rRNA". It matches the Rfam family "Bacterial small subunit ribosomal RNA", at positions 25 to 898 of the family's 1533-position model. The record is from RNAcentral.
CAGGACGAACGCUGGCGGCGUGCUUAAGACAUGCAAGUCGAGCGGUCCCGCAAGGGACAGCGGCGGACGGGUGAGUAACACGUGGAUAACCUGCCUUCUUCGCUGGGAUAACAGGCCGAAAGGCCUGCUAAUACCGGAUAAGCUCACGGGGUCGCAUGGCUCUGGGAGAAAAGGCGCUGCAAGGCGCUGGAGGAAGAGGGGUCCGCGGCCCAUUAGCUAGUUGGAGGGGUAACGGCCCACCAAGGCAACGAUGGGUAGCCGGCCUGAGAGGGCGAACGGCCACACUGGGACUGAGACACGGCCCAGACUCCUACGGGAGGCAGCAGUCGGGAAUUUUGCACAAUGGCCGAAAGGCUGAUGCAGCAACGCCGCGUGAGUGAAGAAGGCCUUCGGGUUGUAAAGCUCUGUUGCCCGUGAAGAACGGCGCCAUCAGGAAAUGGGUGGCGUUUGACGGUAGCGGGAGAGGAAGCCCCGGCUAACUACGUGCCAGCAGCCGCGGUAAUACGUAGGGGGCGAGCGUUGUCCGGAUUUAUUGGGCGUAAAGGGCGUGUAGGCGGUCCUUUAAGUCAGGGGUGAAACCCCGGGGCUCAACCCCGGGCCUGCCUCUGAAACUGAGGGACUUGAGUGCUCUAGAGGGCAGUGGAAUUCCCGGUGUAGCAGUGAAAUGCGUAGAGAUCGGGAGGAACACCAGUGGCGAAGGCGACUGCCUGGGGGGCAACUGACGCUGAGGCGCGAAAGCUGGGGGAGCAAACGGGAUUAGAUACCCCGGUAGUCCCAGCCGUAAACGAUGAGUGCUAGGUGUGAGGGGUAUCGACCCCCCUCGUGCCGGAGUUAACGCAAUAAGCACUCCGCCUGGGGAGUACGGCCGCAAGGUUGAA